This 122-nucleotide transfer RNA is filed under the name Paracoccaceae bacterium. RNAcentral describes it as "Rhodobacteraceae bacterium (seawater metagenome) tRNA-Arg". The stretch from base 2 to 75 matches the Rfam family "tRNA". From Rfam's summary of the family: Transfer RNA (tRNA) molecules are approximately 80 nucleotides in length. Their secondary structure includes four short double-helical elements and three loops (D, anti-codon, and T loops). Further hydrogen bonds mediate the characteristic L-shaped molecular structure. tRNAs have two regions of fundamental functional importance: the anti-codon, which is responsible for specific mRNA codon recognition, and the 3' end, to which the tRNAs corresponding amino acid is attached (by aminoacyl-tRNA synthetases). tRNAs cope with the degeneracy of the genetic code in two manners: having more than one tRNA (with a specific anti-codon) for a particular amino acid; and 'wobble' base-pairing, i.e. permitting non-standard base-pairing at the 3rd anti-codon position. The record is from RNAcentral. Lineage: Bacteria; Pseudomonadati; Pseudomonadota; Alphaproteobacteria; Rhodobacterales; Paracoccaceae.
GGCACCCGUAGCUCAGCUGGAUAGAGCGCCGCCCUCCGAAGGCGGUAGUCAAGUCCGGCGAAAGUUGAGGGUGUUUGGAAAAGGUAACGAUUUAAUAAUGGCUUGAGCGAAUAUCGGGUUCG